CUGCGGAGGGAUCAUUACCGAGUUUACAACUCCCAAACCCCUGUGAACAUACCUAUACGUUGCCUCGGCGGAUCAGCCCGCGCCCCGUAAAAAGGGACGGCCCGCCCGAGGACCCCUAAACUCUGUUUUUAGUGGAACUUCUGAGUAAAACAAACAAAUAAAUCAAAACUUUCAACAACGGAUCUCUUGGUUCUGGCAUCGAUGAAGAACGCAGCAAAAUGCGAUAAGUAAUGUGAAUUGCAGAAUUCAGUGAAUCAUCGAAUCUUUGAACGCACAUUGCGCCCGCCAGUAUUCUGGCGGGCAUGCCUGUUCGAGCGUCAUUUCAACCCUCAAGCUCAGCUUGGUGUUGGGACUCGCGGUAACCCGCGUUCCCCAAAUCGAUUGGCGGUCACGUCGAGCUUCCAUAGCGUAGUAAUCAUACACCUCGUUACUGGUAAUCGUCGCGGCCACGCCGUAAAACCCCAACUUCUGAAUGUUGACCUCGGAUCAGGUAGGAAUACCCGCUGAACUUAAGCAUAUCA
RNAcentral lists this ribosomal RNA (521 nucleotides) under Fusarium sp. E8023d. Its description in RNAcentral is "eukaryotic LSU rRNA". The stretch from base 167 to 320 matches the Rfam family "5.8S ribosomal RNA". Lineage: Eukaryota; Fungi; Ascomycota; Sordariomycetes; Hypocreales; Nectriaceae. The record is from RNAcentral.